Molecule: ribosomal RNA, 431 nt
Filed under: uncultured bacterium
Lineage: Bacteria
Description: bacterial SSU rRNA
Rfam family: Bacterial small subunit ribosomal RNA
Source: RNAcentral
AUUGAACGCUGGCGGCAGGCCUAACACAUGCAAGUCGAGCGAGAAAGCACUUCGGUGCGAGUACAGCGGCGGACGGGUGAGUAACGCGUAGGAAUCUACCCAGUAGUGGGGGACAACUUGGGGAAACCCAAGCUAAUACCGCAUACGCCCCAAGGGGGAAAGCGGGGGAUCUUCGGACCUCGCGCUAUUGGAUGAGCCUGCGUAGGAUUAGCUAGUUGGUGAGGUAAAGGCUCACCAAGGCGACGAUCCUUAGCUGGUCUGAGAGGAUGAUCAGCCACACUGGAACUGAGACACGGUCCAGACUCCUACGGGAGGCAGCAGUGGGGAAUAUUGCGCAAUGGGGGCAACCCUGACGCAGCCAUGCCGCGUGUGUGAAGAAGGCCUUAGGGUUGUAAAGCACUUUCAAUUGGGAAGGGAAGUUUGUCGUUAAU